This 216-nucleotide long non-coding RNA is filed under the name Homo sapiens (human). RNAcentral describes it as "HSALNT0088192". Lineage: Eukaryota; Metazoa; Chordata; Mammalia; Primates; Hominidae. The record is from RNAcentral.
AUAUAUAUAUAUGAGUGUAUGUGCUAGAUUUAGGCAACAUAUUAUGAAAGACUCCUAAAUUCUUUGAAUUUCAUACUCCUUCUCUGUCUCUCUUUAUCUUGAAAGCGAAGAAAAGUAGAAGAGCAAUAUAAAAGUAAAGACAGAAAGAUUAAAAAAGAGGUAAAGAAGAAAGGAAGAGGAAAGGAAAAGGAUGGGAAUGAAAGAAAAUGGUGAGGU